AAUUUUAUUCGACAUUGUUGAGAAAAUUUUCGAAAAGCUAAGAUGUCCAGAUGAUAUUGAUUAACCAGCUGUGGGUCAGGAAUAGAAUUGAAGCUGGCUAGAUAUGGAUGGAAGGUUGGGUACCUAAGAGUACCAUUGUUAGUAGAUGGAUUUAACUUGAGUAUUUGAAGUACUUUAUGUUGUUUGGACCUAUUGAGACCUAAAGAUGUAUUGUUUAAUUUUGUUGAGGUUAUUGGG
Long non-coding RNA from Juglans microcarpa x Juglans regia, 237 nucleotides. RefSeq lists it as uncharacterized. The transcript is spliced from 2 exons. NCBI's taxonomy places the organism in Eukaryota, Viridiplantae, Streptophyta, Magnoliopsida, Fagales, Juglandaceae. The record is from RefSeq and is a predicted model, not a curated record.